Molecule: ribosomal RNA, 256 nt
Filed under: uncultured bacterium
Lineage: Bacteria
Description: partial 16S ribosomal RNA
Rfam family: Bacterial small subunit ribosomal RNA
Source: RNAcentral
CGGGACGGGUGAGUAACGCGUGGAAAACCUGCCGUAUACUGGGGGAUAACACUUAGAAAUAGGUGCUAAUACCGCAUAAGCGCACAGCUUCGCAUGAAGCGGUGUGAAAAACUCUGGUGGUAUGCGAUGGUUCCGCGUCUGAUUAGCUAGUUGGUGGGGUAAUGGCCUACCAAGGCAACGAUCAGUAGCCGGCCUGAGAGGGUGAACGGCCACAUUGGGACUGAGACACGGCCCAAACUCCUACGGGAGGCAGCAG